Molecule: ribosomal RNA, 253 nt
Filed under: uncultured bacterium
Lineage: Bacteria
Description: partial 16S ribosomal RNA
Rfam family: Bacterial small subunit ribosomal RNA
Source: RNAcentral
UACGUAGGGCGCAAGCGUUGUCCGGAAUUAUUGGGCGUAAAGAGCUCGUAGGCGGCUUGUCACGUCGGGUGUGAAAGACCGGGGCUUAACCCCGGUUCUGCAUUCGAUACGGGCUAGCUAGAGUGUGGUAGGGGAGAUCGGAAUUCCUGGUGUAGCGGUGAAAUGCGCAGAUAUCAGGAGGAACACCGAUGGCGAAGGCAGGUCUCUGGGCCGCAACUGACGCUGAGGAGCGAAAGCAUGGGGAGCGAACAGG